GCAUUUAUUAGAUCAAGACUAAUCGGCUUCGGCCGUUUACUUGGUGACUCUGAAUAACUCAGCUGAUCGCACGGUCUAGUGCCGGCGACAUAUCUUUCAAGUGUCUACCUUAUCAACUGUCGAUGGUAGUUUAUGUGACUACCAUGGUUGUAACGGGUAACGGAGAAUCAGGGUUUGACUCCGGAGAGGGAGCCUGAGAAACGGCUACCACUUCCAAGGAAG
This 222-nucleotide ribosomal RNA is filed under the name Halomonhystera sp. 6 JAL-2013. Its description in RNAcentral is "partial 18S ribosomal RNA". It matches the Rfam family "Eukaryotic small subunit ribosomal RNA", at positions 203 to 424 of the family's 1831-position model. Lineage: Eukaryota; Metazoa; Nematoda; Chromadorea; Monhysterida; Monhysteridae. The record is from RNAcentral.